Lutra lutra (Eurasian river otter) is the source of this 139-nucleotide small nuclear RNA. RefSeq annotates it as U4 spliceosomal RNA. NCBI's taxonomy places the organism in Eukaryota, Metazoa, Chordata, Mammalia, Carnivora, Mustelidae. The transcript has a single exon. The record is from RefSeq and is a predicted model, not a curated record.
AGCUUUGCGCAGUGGCAGUAUUGUAGCCAAUGAGGUUUAUCCGAGGCGCGAUUAUUGCUAAUUAAAUACUGUGAAUGUUCUAUUCCUUAAUCUGGGUGGUGAGUAUGGAGAUGUUUAUUAUUGUCAUGUAUUCAUUAGU